UUUCUUUUAGCUUAAAUUAAAGCGUUAGUUUGAAGCACUAAAGUUAACAUUAGUUAGAGAAGC
Molecule: transfer RNA, 63 nt
Filed under: Duthiersia expansa
Lineage: Eukaryota; Metazoa; Platyhelminthes; Cestoda; Diphyllobothriidea; Diphyllobothriidae
Description: tRNA-Phe
Source: RNAcentral